Molecule: ribosomal RNA, 433 nt
Filed under: uncultured bacterium
Lineage: Bacteria
Description: partial 16S ribosomal RNA
Rfam family: Bacterial small subunit ribosomal RNA (bases 12-344)
Source: RNAcentral
AACGAACGCUGGCGGCAGGCCUAACACAUGCAAGUCGAGCGAGGACUUCGGUCCUAGCGGCGGACGGGUGAGUAACGCGUGGGAACGUGCCCUUUGCUUCGGAAUAGCCCUGGGAAACUGGGAGUAAUACCGGAUGAGCCCUUUGGGGGAAAGAUUUAUCGGCGAAGGAUCGGCCCGCGUUGGAUUAGGUAGUUGGUGGGGUAAUGGCCUACCAAGCCGACGAUCCAUAGCUGGUUUGAGAGGAUGAUCAGCCACACUGGGACUGAGACACGGCCCAGACUCAUACGGGGUGUGGCAGUGGGGAUUAUGAGAUGAGGGCGGAAGGCUUGAAAAGCCCAUGCAGCGGGAAAGAUAAAGACUGUAGGAGGAGAAGGCUCUUUGAGGAGGAGAGUGAAGGAGGGAACCGGAAGAGGAAGACAAGGACAAUCCGGCC